RNAcentral lists this long non-coding RNA (543 nucleotides) under Ficedula albicollis (Collared flycatcher). RNAcentral's name for it is "lncRNA (ENSFALG00000028678.1)". The record is from RNAcentral. Lineage: Eukaryota; Metazoa; Chordata; Aves; Passeriformes; Muscicapidae.
UGCUCUGAGCAGUGCUGCUGAGCAAUCACUUAACCCUUAAAGUCCUGCGUGUAGGAGAAAAAAUGACUCCUAAUUCCAUAUUCCUCUCUCAUGCAACACUGCAAGAAGUGAAGCAUGCAGUGUCAGCACACAGAAGUUUGUAUGAUCACAAACACAAAUAUUUUUUUCAGCCCCUAUGCCAAGUACUUGUCUCUUGGGUCAACAGAUCUUAGAAUUUAGCAGACCAAAGUAAUCAGCAAACGCAUGUUUUAUCCCAUUUUUGACAUUAACAAGAUAAAUGAUGGAUGAACACAAGUUUUUCGAAUAUUAAUUUAAAUACAGAUGUAAUCACGGCAGGCGGCAGUUCAGAGCAGAAGCUGUGCCAAUUGCACGUGAGGUCCUGCCUCUCUGACUACUGCGACUCAUAUCCAAGGAAUGGUCAUGCUGGGGCAGGCAGAAAUUCUUUCUGAGGAGGGCUGGCAGUGGGUACUCAGGAAAAGAGUGUGAGACCUGGGCAAUACAGGGAGAUCUUUGUCCUGGAACACCCUCUCAUCUGGCUGAAGC